RNAcentral lists this ribosomal RNA (611 nucleotides) under uncultured bacterium. Its description in RNAcentral is "bacterial SSU rRNA". It matches the Rfam family "Bacterial small subunit ribosomal RNA", at positions 41 to 647 of the family's 1533-position model. The record is from RNAcentral.
GGCGUGGCUAAGGCAUGCAAGUCGAACGGACAUAUCCUAAGGGUAACUGAGGGGUAUGUUAGUGGCGAACGGGUGAGGAAUACAUGGACAGCGUACCCUGGACUCGGGGAUAGCGGCGGGGGCAACCCCUUUGCGAAAGUGCCGGUAAUACCCGAUGAUUCCACAGGACCGCAUGGUUUUGUGGGCAAAGCUCCGACGGUCUGGGAUCGGUUCAUGUCCUAUCAGCUAGUUGGUGAGGUAACGGCUCACCAAGGCGACGACGGGUACCGGGCGUGGGAGCGUGACCCGGCACAUCGGAACUGAGAUACGGUCCGGACACCUACGGGUGGCUGCAGCAACGAAUAUUCCGCAAUGGACGCAAGUCUGACGGAGCGACGCCGCGUGCAGGAUGAAGUCCCUCGGGAUGUAAACUGCUGUCAGGGGUGAGGAAAUCAUUGACCAACCCCAGAGGAAGCAUCGGCUAACUCCGUGCCAGCAGCCGCGGUAAUACGGAGGAUGCAAGCGUUGUUCGGAAUCACUGGGCUUAAAGAGCGUGUAGGUGGAAUAUCAGGCGUCGGGUGAAAUCCCUCGGCUCAACCGAGGAACUGCCUGGCGAACCGGUAUUCUUGAGG